AGGGCUUAGUCGUAGGUGACCUGCGGAGGUCAUUAUUG
RNAcentral lists this ribosomal RNA (38 nucleotides) under Laccaria laccata. RNAcentral describes it as "partial 18S ribosomal RNA". Lineage: Eukaryota; Fungi; Basidiomycota; Agaricomycetes; Agaricales; Hydnangiaceae. The record is from RNAcentral.